This 1104-nucleotide long non-coding RNA is filed under the name Oryctolagus cuniculus (rabbit). Its description in RNAcentral is "lncRNA (ENSOCUG00000036982.1)". Lineage: Eukaryota; Metazoa; Chordata; Mammalia; Lagomorpha; Leporidae. The record is from RNAcentral.
AUGAGAAGCCGGGAGAGAGCAGAGAGAGGCGUGGGUGCAGUGGGGCAGCCACAGCCGGGCGCCGGCACCUUUAGGAAGCUCUUGGGGUUGCGCGGUGUUCAGACACUAACGCGAGCGCGCAGCUCGACAUGGCGCCCCUACCCGGCCCCGGCGGAAGCCAGGCGAAGGCGCCCUUCCAUUUCUCUCGUGGGUAAAGCAGGGGAUUGCAUCUGGGGCUUUGUCCAGGCCUCCAGAGUUGAAGGAGUGGAGUCAGGCCCCGGCGCUUCGAAGGCCGGCUCAGCCCGAGGCGGUGCAGACCCGCUGAGGCGCGCGGAAGCGCCGCCAAGUUCCGGCCUCCGUGCGCUGUGCCGGGAGGUGGGCUCGGGCCCGACUUCUGCAGCUCCCUGCGCGGACCUCGGGCCUAGGGCUUGGGCGACCGGUCCCCGAGCGCAAGGGGAAGAUCCCGCAGAGCCAGGCGUGAGCCGCACGCAGCCCAAGCGCUCGCCAGGCUGCGUUCACUGCUCCCCGGCGCGCCGCUGCGGGGCUGAGGACGCGCAGAUUCACGCAGCCGCUCGGCGCCCCCUCCGUCCGCGGCGCGGUCCCUUGGGAGGCCAGGGGACUUUCAGGAAAAGGGGACUGGGUAGAGGUCGAAGGUGGAAGGGCCGCAGGCGCUGGGGCGGCUGUGUGCUCUCCUCAAACGCAGUUUGUACAAUGCGGUGUCUGAUGACCACGUUCCUUCCAGGCCCACUAAGCAGAUACGACUGGGCAGACUGCAAAGAUUUUACAAAUCCAAUGAAAGCUAUCCCGACCCCCGGCAGAGCCCGUCUGCGUGGAGCGACUCCUGCCUCCUGGGCUGGCCUCGGCCGGGUGGACUACCACCCCAAGCAGAGUCCCGAUGCCCCCGGGCCGCUGGGCAUCUCUGGAAUCCUGAGCCCCAGAGAGGCUGCGGCUGCAGUGGCCCCUACCGCUGCCAUGCUUGGAAGCGUGGGAGACUGCACCCACGCCCAGUCGAGGCUGGCAGCAAGAGGGGCCCUGGGUGCCGCCUGCCUAGGACCCUCUGAGCACCAGCUGGGGUCUGUGGCCGGGCUGCCCUCCCUGGGCUGGCAGACCCACAUUUUGUGGUGA